Rosa rugosa (rugosa rose) is the source of this 936-nucleotide long non-coding RNA. RefSeq lists it as uncharacterized. NCBI's taxonomy places the organism in Eukaryota, Viridiplantae, Streptophyta, Magnoliopsida, Rosales, Rosaceae. The transcript is spliced from 8 exons. The record is from RefSeq and is a predicted model, not a curated record.
UCUCUUCAGAGCAAAAAAAAAAAAAAAAGACUGAGCUCCUCCAAAUCGAACCUUCUCUCAUCUCCCUCUCAUCGCCACAACCCCUCCAUCAUUCACAUCGCUACAGACCCAUCAUCCACAAGCACUCCAAAUCGACCUUGGACUCACCGUGGCUUCAUCGAUGGCGUCUGCUCUAUCAUUCACCAAAGUGUCCCGAGCACAUAGUCUUCCGCUUCAUCACCACGCACCACCGCUAAGCGGACCUCUGCCAUGUGAUCAACUGCAACCUAGUGAAGGGCAAGAUCUCAUACUCGAUUCGGCAGGCGUAGUUCUGCUCAGGGGCCAAAAAGGAGUGGGGAAAUUUUUUUUCAUUGCCAACAGAUCGAUACUCUUUGGGUCCGUGAAAUAGAAGUGAAUUAAGAAUGAAUGGACAAAGGGAUAAGGUGAAGCUUUUGGAUGCAAAACAGUCCGCUAUAAGUGCUUAUUUGGACUGCCACUGAGGUUUAACCAAAAGAGCUAUUAUGUUGAUAGUGCUAUCUGUUUUCAGGGUGAAUCACCUGUGAGGUACGAAAAAACAGACGUAUGGGCGGUCGGUGGAUAAGUCGGGAUGAUUUGGGUUUAGAUUGAGCAACUUAUUACUGGGAAUGAAAGUUUGGCGUACAAUGCAACUUUGGGAGUAGAGAAGAAGAACUUUGGACAUCAAGUAGCAACUAUUUUAUUGGUGAUACUUGGAGAUCCAACUAGCUCUAAUGUGGUCCAAGAUUUUUAGAGAAAGUAAGUUCAAGACAAACUCAUGAUGCUCAUGAUGAAUGUGAUGUGGAUUGAGCGAAGUUGUAGUUAGAUUAGAUUGUAAAUUUUAGUUUAGUGAACUUGGGAAAAUAAAUCUAUGCUCAUUGAUAUUGUACUUUGGAUGUUGAUAUAUAAUUUUGGUUAGUAAUCAUGUGUAAAUUUGCAGAU